This is a non-coding RNA of Coturnix japonica (Japanese quail), 8504 nucleotides long. NCBI's taxonomy places the organism in Eukaryota, Metazoa, Chordata, Aves, Galliformes, Phasianidae. The record is from RefSeq and is a predicted model, not a curated record.
AUAUCUAUCUAUAUAAAUAUAUAUAUAAUAGAGAAAGACAGAGGAAAGAGAUUUUGUUGUGUUUUUUUUUGUUUUGUUUGUUUGUUUUGUUUUUUCUUAAUUAUUGCAAUCAGGAUGUAGCCAAGGAAUAAUGAAGGAACUCCAAAUCCCAGCAGCUAAACAGCCAUCUCCACCAGUGGAACCUUCCUGGAUUUUUUAAGCAAGGUUGUGGCAAGUGAGACAGGAUACAGGGAUAUAAACUGCCACCCCCUUCUGUUCCUAAAAGGAGCAAGAAAAGGUGACAUGGUGCUUUUCCAACCCCUGUUCUUGUGCUUGCUGUAUAUCAUGUGUUCUGGUGGGAAGACCCCAGACCUGUCCCACUCAUGUGGGAGAAAUUUUUCCCUUAGAAUGACUCAAGCUGUAAAGAUUUAGUUCCAAAGCACAAGGAGAACUUCUUCCAAAUAACACAAGAGGGAAAAAAAAUGAAUUUCUGUUCCCAAAGUGAAAUGUUGAAUGUUUCUCAAGCACUGUCGUCUUGUCUAUAAUGCCAACCAAGAUGCUUGGCUCUAUUUCUUCAAGUUAAAGCAUUGAGUUCCCUCCUAGAGGAUUCUACAGAGCAAAUAUCACUGCCCUGGUCCCAUGACUCAGUUCCACUGCCAUGAAAAAGGAAGGAAGGAAGGAAAGAGGAACAUUGUACAGAACACCUUUAUAUUUAUAUUUAAGAAAUAAUAAUAAUUAAUAAUAAUAAUAAUUGAACUGCUGAUGGUGAAGAAAGCAAAACACGCUGAUGGCUUACAGUAACAAGCUACUGGAUUCUCUACAUCAGUUCAAAAUACAUGAGAACACAAGGAGAAACAGGAAAAGAAAAUGAGAUAAUAAUACUGUAGGAAAAAUUGCAUUUGAGAAAUACUCACCUAGGUUGUGUGUGGUUGCCCCCUCCCCACAGAUAGCAUUUUGGAAAUGAUACAGCUUCGUUUGGAUUUGAACAACGGUGAAAGCAGAAAUAAAAGAGAUUAAUUAAGGACCAUAUUAUAUACCUACGUGGACUGGAAAUUAAUCCCGUUGCACAUGCAAAAUUACUUUGUAAUUCUAUAUAGAGUUUAAACAGAAGUCAUGUAUAUUUAAUUUAUUUUGUUAAACAAGAAAAAAAAGUGUAUGAUAUUUUCCUCAAAACUGGCAUUUCUAUGCAUAUUUUUGAUCAAAGAAAAUAAAGUGGGUUUUUUUUGUCAGGUUCUAUAGAUACCAUGCUCAGAAUAUGCUCAGUGUAACAACAGUAAACAGCUGCACUUCUCUGUAUGUCUUCUCACUCAUAAUCUCCUCGUAUCUUCUCAGGUUCUGCUACUGCCAACAUUCACAUUAGAAAAAUUACCUUUUUUCCACCAUUUAUAUUGUGAUUUUUCAGGUUGGAUAUUAGAAAAAUACUUGCUCACAGAAAGAGUUGUGAUAUAUUGGAACGGUCUGUCGAGGGAGGUGGUGGAGUCACCACGCCUGGAGCUGUUCAAGAAACAUGGAAAUGUGCCUCUGAGGGACAUUGGUUGGUGGAUGUGGUGGGGAUGGGUUGGUGGUUGGACUUGAUGUUCUUAGAGAUCUUUUCUAAUCGUAAGGAUUCCAUGACUGUAUGAUUGCAGUGACGGGGUCAUUUCCCACAGAGUUCUUGUCACCUCCAGGAGCAAAGAGCUCUGCUUACAGAGAAAUCCAUUUCAUUAUGCUUUUUAUUUUGGUGUAUAUUUUUUCAGGGAGGGUGAAGGGGAGAGGAGGAAGAGGUUGCAAACCACAAACCUGAUGGAUUUUUUCUUUUAAAAAGAAAGUUUUAUAAAUCAAAGCAUAAAAACACGUGAGUCUGUAAAAUGAGCUUUAGCCUCAGGGUGCUCAGGAGGAGAAAACAUGUAAUGGGGUGAGACCUUUCCAUGAUGCUUCAGUGAUGGAGCAAUUGUUUGCUGCUUGCUUGAGUGCCACUCAAAGCUUGUUGCAGGGAAAAAAAAGAAGAGAUGUGCCAAUUUUUAGGUUUGAAAGUACUUCUUUCUCAAGCCUGCUCUGCAAAAGAGAUCUUCAACUUCAGCUGCUCUGACUUAGAGUGAAACACUUCAUUUAAGCUGAAACAAAAGAGUGCUUCAGGCUUUUGUUUUUCUCAGAAUGUUUCCAAAACUAUUUUCUCUGCAUCAACUUGCAGUUAUUUUUCUGCUGACUUCUUGCAUCCUCAUAUGCAAACCAAACAGCUCCCUUUUUGCUCAGCCAGAUCACUGUGAGAUGGGGUCCUCAUCCAGCAAAGCAUGAAUGCUCCCACUUUCCCUCACCGUCACAUGGUAUCCCAAAAGUCCCCUUUUUGCCUUGGCCACCAAGGUCAAUGGCUCUCUUAACACAAUGGUUUUUCUGUAGAGGUUAUAACAAAGCAUCCUACUGCUAUUUUUUAUUAUUAUUACCAAUAUUUUUUAAGUGGCAUAGUUCAUUAAAAGCACAUUAAAACUACACUUUACUGAGUCACUUCAUGGAAAAAGCCAAAAUGCCUUUAUGCACUACAUGCAUCACCUACUUUUUAAGAAGACAGCAUGUGGCUGACACUAAGGGCUAUGUCUUACAACUCAUGCCUACGUAAACCUACUUUUUGCACUGUGGUAGGUACUGAGAACAUCUCAGCAGCAUUCAGGGCACAGUAGAAGGCAGAUCCACCUGUAAGCUUGCCAGCUUUCUCAGCUAUCUGUGUUGGUGCUACAGCAGUAUGGUGCCUAGCUCAUACUGAUACCAGCUUUAGAAGAGGUGCACAGCCAGUUUCAUUUGGUUCAGCCCUAUGCAAACCCUAAGUGAUGGCCUUACAACUUUUUCUAAUGGCAGUUAUGUCACUGACCCUCAGAUCCUGUGAUUCCCAUAGGGUAUAAUCUUCCUGCUGAGCACUUGGCUCUCAACUGCGACCUUCUACCUGCUGUGAUCCAGGGUGAGGCCCUUCCAUGAUGCUUCCAAGAUGAUAGCGCCAGGUGGAUCAAGUGAAAGGAGCUUCCUUCUGCCUGUUGAAGUUCCAGUUCGGAAGGAGAUACUGCAAACACUUGGAUUUGCACGUAUAUUUUAUAUCUUGUCUGGGUCUUGCACUGAUUUGCUGGGCCUAGGUGGAUUUGGUGUUUAGAGGAGUUAUUUCAACUCUACAGGACACCUGUAAGAAAUCUUCUGAGUCACUUGUCUCUUGCCUACCACAUGCCAUUUCUUUUAGGGCUCAAUUGUGCUUUGCAUGUAUUGCAAAAUCUUCUUUAGCCUAAAUAAAUUCUGCCAGGUCCUGCUCAUGCCUGAGUAUUUAUUUUUUCACCAAUGAGACAAGAUUUGGACUCAUCUCUGCUCAUACAUACAAGGCAUUUAGAGGAAAUCUUAGUCUUACUAUUAACUACUGACCCUAUUUGGAACACAGAAGAGUUUGGGUUUUUUUGUUUUAUACAUAAGGAUGUGGGCAUAUGGAUGUAAGUGCUGGGCUGUGAUACAGAAAAGAGUUGUACUUUAAAAGCCAUCAAGCUUCAAAGAUCAAAAGAACGUUAGGCUUAGAGUUCUCCAUCUUUGUUUAAUUUAUUUGCAUUACAGAUCAAACAUGGCCUUACAUGUCGGUUUGUGUGUGGCAUUUUUAAGCUUUGUAUGGACAAUGCUUGUACUGUCAGCCCUUUUAAACUGAAAACCUUUAUCAGACAUUUACAAAUAAAAAGUGUUGUGUGAUUUUCAAACAGUAGCAAACAGACUAACCAAGGACAUCAAAAAGAGAUGGGAUGGCACUAUGUGUGCAUCUGGCUGUGCAAUAAAAGCUAGAAAGGAGAAAAUAAUUAUUCUCUUAGGUUGUUUUGAGGGAAAGGGUGGUGGGAUGUGUGUGAAUACACAUGAGAAAUAUGUGCUGGAAUGAUGAAUAUUGAAAAAUUAUCUCUGCACCAUGACUCGGGCCUGAUUAAUUAAUUGUGUAUGUUGUGAAUCUGGGGCAGACUUUUUGGAAAAGUCUUCUAAUUACUGAGUAAAUAGGAUUAGGAAAGACAUGGACCUGCUGGAACCAUAAGAAUGAUCCAAUGGAUGGAACACCUCCCCUGCAAUGACUGGAUGAGAGAGAUGGGGCUGUUGAGCCUGGAGAAGUGAAAAACUCUGGGAAGACCUGAUAGUGAACUUCCAAUAUCUAAUGGGGUCUAUCAGAAAGGACAGAAUCUUUAGCAAGGUAUGUUGUGGCAGGACAUGACUAUGUAGGUAUCACCUCUGCCUAUGUGGUCUACCAAAGGAAGGGACAGAGCCUGCAUCUCUCACAAGUGUCACAUGAAGGAUGGGUCUAUAUGGGUGCUGUGUUCAGACACAAUGUACUGUGAAUGCUGUUAUAAUGAAAGGCCAUAGGGCUUCAUCCAGAGGUCCUUCUGGCCUCGGAGACAUGUAGCUGAGGAUACAAGCACAGCUUUGUGCCCCAGAAUGGUUGCAGAUAAUCACAGAUGUGCAGCUUAGGCAUUGCAUCCACAUCUGGCACGGGGGCUGCAAACUCAGCUCUGCUGCUCACAGCCCCACUUCCUUCCAGGCUGUAAGUAUGCCAGCUCAGCAUUUUAUGGCUUAUUACUAAAGUAAUGGUGUUAUUUAUACAAAAUGGAGUUAUGCAUUGACAUUUUCAGCAUCUGCAAAUAACCCCUUGCGUAAACAGCAGCAUAAUCCUGUGAAUAUACACAUCCCACUCCUUUACACUCUGUUUUGGCAAAUCUUGCUGGGUUUGCUGCAGUUGGUGUCAGGGAGGAUUUACACGUGAAUUUGAGUGUAAACACAUGUGGUUAAUGGCCUGCUGAGUUGCUCAGACUUGUUAUUGGUGGAAGUCUCUUCAAUCCUUUUCUUUUUUGCUACGCAUGGAGGAGUGCGGAAUCCUUCUCAGCAUUCAUAUUGGUGUGGACACAAGUCUGUCCUGGCUCUCAUUUAAACACACGGGCUCACUAAUUGGGUUGUAGUGCUUGGCCGAUGUGAACCAUGCAGGUCUCCUGCACACACCUGGUCCUAGUGGCCAUGGGCAUCCAUCUGCAUUCUUCUGCUCACUCAUCCAUGUAGUGAGGAUUCGAGGGGCACAGCUACAAACACACCCAGCUUUAUGGGGUAGGUUUCACCAAUGGAGCUCAGCAAAAAUUUCACAGAGGGUAAUAAUGCGGCAGGAAGAUGUCAGCCUGAUGAGGGCCAGGGUCUGCAAUCCAAAUGGGAUGCACCCAGGCCAGUUUGGUUCCACAAUGGGGAUCUUGGGAGAAAAUGCUACUGGUUAGGAUUCUGUAGGUAUUUCAGACUUGAUCUUGACCUUAUCUUAACAGCAAAAUGUUUUUUGGGUUAAGAUUUCUAGGUUUUAAAAGUUUGCUACAAAUGCUAAUUGAAUGGAAAAAGAAAAAUGGAUUAUUGAAGUUCAAAACAAAACCAGAAUUAAAAUAUUGGUAUUGCUUUGACUAUUAAUUAGUCUACAAAUAGAGUGGAGUCUGAACAAAAGAGGGUGCUCAAUGUUACCUUUCAUGUUUAGCUCAGGCAUCUUUGUGUCUGUUCACCAUUUUCUUAUCCCUCAGAAUAAUCCAUGGUGCAAUGACCUCUAUUUGUUAGUAUUUCAGCUUUUACACUUCUUUUUCUCUUUCCCCUUCUGCUUGUCUCUUGUAAUUAGGAUUUAAUAUAUCCCGCAGUAUAUAUGGGCAUCAGCAAAGCAAUGCAUAUUCUUUUAUUUUCCCAUUUUCACUAACCAAAUCCAGUCUGUAGAGUGAUUUCCAUCUGAGUUGAUCGAUGCUUUGGUGAGAGGAGUAAUAAAUAACACUUUAGAGCAGACUUCAAAAUGCCUUUUUUCUUUGAUCUGAGUAAUUAAGGAGUCAAGUUGCUGUUCCUAAGCUUUUUCUGAUGGAAUUACAUGAGUUACACAGCUCUUCAUUUGUAUGUCAUUAAACAUUAUGUUUUAUUGCUGCUGUUCAAACAAUUAGUACCUAAAUAUGCCCCAUAUUCUCAUAAAGAGGCGGUAGCAGUGCUAAUGUUAAUGCCCUGAUUAACAGUUUGUUCCCAUCCAGUGUCCACCAUCAUGCCUGAAUGCCAUUUAAUGUCAAUCAGAUCUUUACUGAUGCCCUUCUGAAGUCAUUCUCUUCUACAGUCAUUUAACUGCAAAGCAAAGUGAGGGUAAUUCAAACAAGAAAGUUAACUAAAAAUGGCAUUUCUUUUAACACAGGAAUUUUUUAAACUUCAUUACAAGUUUUGGUUAUAAAAAGGCCACUGCUUCAUGGUGAUCAGUCAUUUUGACAUUUUUAUGGUGUUUUUAUUACCCCUGGCUCAUUUCCAUACUAAAGGGAACAUUUGUAACAAUACUUGCUCUUUCUGUUAUGAUUAGGAUUGUGCUUUUGCCGUGCUUUGUUGGGCUGUUGCAGUGCUCAAUAAUGCUCUUGGCACACGUCCUCCCAGACCCUGCGGUGUGUUUAUUCAAAGGGAAGGAAAAAGAAGUGUCUACUAAAACAAUAAACUACUACUGCUUGCGUUAACAUGGCCAUAACUUCCUUGUUCUGCAGACAAUCAGUUAGCAAAGCUGUUAGGUAAACUUGCUCCUUCACUGUUGAAAAAAUAAAUAUUCAUGAAUCUUGCAGCCACGUUUUCCCAUGCUUUAUAAUGGAGUUGAAGACGAUGAAGGAUUUUAAAGCUAAUAAUUUAACCAGAGAGAUAAGGAUGGGGGCCCAGAUCCUGAAAGCAGUGGGAGCUGGGAUCCUAAAUUGUACUGGACUACAUAAGGAAGGAUGGGAGCCAGUCAACACUGGGGAAGCCACGCUAAUUAAACCCAAGAUCUCAGAGCUCAUGGGGAAAACCACCCUCACCCACCCUGCAGGAGAAGCACAAUGGCACAAUGGCACCCUCUGUUGCCCUGCACGCUGCUCCCACGUGGAUGUAUGAACUCCCAAAGGUAUCCAUUCCCCAUCUCCAAAUCUCAUCUCUUCCUGUCGAGCUUCCUGGUUUGUUUGGAGUUAUCCUGUUAUUUCCAUUUGUAAUAAAAAUCUGUCUUGUUCUUUUUGUACUGAGUGGAGAAACACUGAGAGGAUCGUCACACUCUUUUCAUGAACAGUGGCCCCUUGUCCCCAUUUUGUCCUCCCUAAGUGGCAGCUCCUUGCAACAGUGGUAUUAACCCCUGAGCUCAGCCCUGCAAAGCGGUGGUCGUUCCCAGCAUUAACUGGAAAGCAAUUAGUCUUUAUGAGAUUGGGUUGUCCAACUCUCAUGCAAUUAAUUAAACAAAAACUUUGUUCAUUAAUUAAAAUACAUAGUGAAUCUGAUUUUUGCUCUGAUCCUCUGUGUGUUCAUAAGCAAACAACCAGUUCCUUUUAUUCUUGUAUCCUUGUGAACACACUUUAAUUGCUCAUUAAUAUAAAGUUAAUGGGCUGACACACAACUAGCUGCUUCUUUCUUUUUGGACUUCUCUAACAAUGACUUUUUUGUGUGUAUCUGGCAAAGAAGCCAGAAUCAACCAACUUUUUUUCUGUGUUUUACUCCCAUGCCAUGCUGUAAAGGACUGCACAAUUACCUUGCUGUAAUGUUAUUAUGCAGGACUGAUUUUGCUGUGAUGGCAUAAGAGGAAUUAGAUAUGCCCUUUCUAUUGUUGUUGAUAUGACUGUGCCUGUUUUCCCCAUAUGCAGACUGAAAGAAUUAUCAGAAGCAGUGAGUAGAACUUAUCACUUAGAAAUGAUUACUCAGAAGUCAUGAAGUGAUGUUAAUGUGAACAGAUUUCAGUGCAUCUAUUUGACAAACACAAAUGGUCUGUGAGUAUGUUGAAGUAUAACAAAAAACAAGUUGGAAAUAUUUGACAUGCUGUGUCUGUUCAGUUUUAAGCAGCCUCACCUACUGUGCCAAUGACUUACAGUCAGAUUUGGAUCUUGCAUGCUCAUCAUCAGCUUUCAGGACCCACGCUACAUCAUUUGCUUCCUUUGAUUCCAAAAAGAUUUUGUCAAGACAUUGAAUCGAAUUUUAUCCCAGGCCUCACAAAUACAUCCGUGUUUGACAGCUGUGGGAAAGAAGGGGGUUCAAGCUGAAUCUAUUGUUUGUUCAGAAAUAUCUAAUUUCAUAAGUCAAAUUACUCGUAAUGAUUCCACACUAAUUUGUCAUUUGAGUCCUUUGCAGGCCUACUUUCUCCCAGAUGAUGGGAGAUGAGAAGAAUUGCCUAAGCUUUUGGUACUGUGUAGAUCUCUGCUGAAACACAUUCUGAUUGCUGCUGACCUCGAUACAUCUUUUUUCUUAUAAGCUUAAGCCCGCAAGCUUCAGAAUUCAACAUAAAAGAGCAGCUGCCAUCUGAUUUUGUUCUCAUUUAUAGAGAAACAACUCAAUUUCAGGAAAUAAAUAAAUAAAUAAGCAAUUCAAUUUUAAAAUGACCAAGAAAAGUUUGACUGAAAUGAAAACAAAACCAAAAUAGCCACGCUUUAAAACAGUGCAUUUCAACAGGACUUAAAGUGUUCCUCCCUGCUGUUUUCUCAAACUGAAGUGCUGACAAAAUCAGUAUGUUUCCUGAAGUGUUUCUUUUUUAUCAGAUUUGCAUGUUUUGGUGAAAUAUAGAUCCACUGAAUUGA